Molecule: long non-coding RNA, 333 nt
Organism: Gasterosteus aculeatus aculeatus (three-spined stickleback)
Lineage: Eukaryota; Metazoa; Chordata; Actinopteri; Perciformes; Gasterosteidae
Source: Ensembl
CACAGACUUUACUCUGAAUAAACGGGCACUGCUCUGUGUUUAACUGCUGUGACACACGUCCCUUCGAUGGCACACCCUUAACACACACAGGCACGGUCACGUGCUUCUCCUCGAUGCAUGAAGACUCACUGCAGUCCUCACACCAACAUCCCCUCCUCGGCACACUCAGGUGUGUUGUUGUGGGAGAAGAUAAGCAGGCUGACGGCUGAUAACAUCACUACUGUCAUGCAGAUGAGCACUCAGCUGUUGUGUGUAAAGAACAGGCACUGUUGACCAGAUUUGUCUUGUGCGCUGGACUGGGUCUAAAGGCAAAAAGGAUUAGAGGAAGUAAAU